Molecule: non-coding RNA, 22 nt
Filed under: Arabidopsis thaliana (thale cress)
Lineage: Eukaryota; Viridiplantae; Streptophyta; Magnoliopsida; Brassicales; Brassicaceae
Source: RNAcentral
CUUGACCGUCAUCUUUUGCCCG